This 471-nucleotide ribosomal RNA is filed under the name uncultured bacterium. Its description in RNAcentral is "partial 16S ribosomal RNA". It matches the Rfam family "Bacterial small subunit ribosomal RNA", at positions 28 to 507 of the family's 1533-position model. The record is from RNAcentral.
GACGAACGCUGGCGGCGUGCUUAACACAUGCAAGUCGAGCGAUUGAGCCUAGCUUGCUCGGUGAUUUAGUGGCGAACGGGUGAGUAAUACGUGGGUAACUUACUUUUAACUCUGGGUUAAGUCCGGGAAAGUGGGUUUAAUCCGCAAACCUACUAAUCGACAAGGGGGGGGUUGUUGGGAAGCGACGUUUGGUGGUUAUAGUUGGGCUCAUGGGUUAUCUGCUGGGGGGUGGGCUAACGGCGCACGCAGGCGACGACUGGUAUGCGGCCUGAGAGGGUGACCAGCCACCCGGGGCCUGAGAGACGGCCCAGACGGCAACGGGAGGCAGCAGUGGGGAAUAUUGCACAAUGGGCGCAAGCGUGUUGCAGCGACGCCGCGUGAGGGAUGACGGCCUUCUGGUGGUAAACCUCUGUAAGCGGGGAAGAAGCGGGAUUGACGGUACCUGCAGAGAAAGCGCCGGCUAACUACGUG